Macrobrachium nipponense is the source of this 435-nucleotide long non-coding RNA. RefSeq lists it as uncharacterized. The record is from RefSeq and is a predicted model, not a curated record. The transcript is spliced from 2 exons. Lineage: Eukaryota; Metazoa; Arthropoda; Malacostraca; Decapoda; Palaemonidae.
AAGGACAGAAUGAGUCUACAGCAACCAGACGAGUUUGAAGACUACAACCCCACGAGGUGAAUGGUAACUAGACCAUUGUAAAUGAUUGACGAGUAUCUGGUGGAGUCGAUAAAUGGACAGACGCUGAAUCACAUUCUACAAUAGCAGAUAUCUUUUUAUCCUACAUCAACGGCAUUUGUAUGCCUGUUACGUGCGGUAAUAAGGAUUUCUCUGGAGUUUCAAGGCUACUGCACAAGCCGUAGAUUUGUGAACGAUUUCCUAGACAAACUUGUGAUUUCAUGAAAAUUAAUUGGCUUUCAGGAUUUAAUUUUCCCCGAAAAAUGUUUUGUUUCCUAUGUAAAUUGCGUUUGUAUAUCUGAAUGUGUGCACCUUUUCAUGCUGUCAUGGGUUUGAUGGUAGUGAUUUUGAAGUUUCCCUUAAAAGUCGUCAAAAAUG